GAUCGCAAGGUUAAAACUCAAAGGAAUCGACGGGGACCCGCACAAGCGGUGGAACAUGUGGUUUAAUUCGAUGCUACGCGAAAAACCUUACCAAGUCUUGACAUGUUAGUCGUAUAGCUAAGAAACUAGCUAGUCAGUUCGGCUGGACUAUCACAGGUGUUGCAUGGCUGUCGUCAGCUCGUGUCGUGAGAUGUUGGGUUAAGUCCCGCAACGAGCGCAACCCUUAUCUUUAAUUGCCAACAGGUAAUGCUGGGAACUUUAAAGAAACUGCCAAUGGAGAAUUGGAGGAAGGUGAGGAUGACGUCAAGUCAGCAUGGCCCUUAUGACUUGGGCUACACACGUGUUACAAUGGUAGUUACAAUAUGAUGCAAUAGGGCGACCUGGAGCAAAUCUCAAAAAGCUACCUCAGUUCGGAUUAUACCCUGCAACUCGGGUGCAUAAAGUUGGAAUCGCUAGUAAUCGCAGAUCAGCACGCUGCGGUGAAUACGUUCCCGGGUCUUGUACACACUGCCCGUCAAGCCAUGGAAGUUAAAUUUUCCUUAAGUAAAUAAGCUAACUGUAAAGAAGCAGUUCACCAAGGAGAAUUUGAUGGCUGGGGUU
This 600-nucleotide ribosomal RNA is filed under the name uncultured bacterium. RNAcentral's name for it is "bacterial SSU rRNA". It matches the Rfam family "Bacterial small subunit ribosomal RNA", at positions 884 to 1482 of the family's 1533-position model. The record is from RNAcentral.